CAGUCGCCGCGGUAAUACGUAGGGUGCAAGCGUUGUCCGGAAUUAUUGGGCGUAAAGAGCUCGUAGGCGGUUUGUCGCGUCUGCUGUGAAAUCCCGAGGCUCAACCUCGGGCUUGCAGUGGGUACGGGCAGACUAGAGUGCGGUAGGGGAGAUUGGAAUUCCUGGUGUAGCGGUGGAAUGCGCAGAUAUCAGGAGGAACACCGAUGGCGAAGGCAGAUCUCUGGGCCGUAACUGACGCUGAGGAGCGAAAGCGUGGGGAGCGAACAGGAUUAGAUACCCCUGUAGUCCCUGUCUCUUAUAU
This 301-nucleotide ribosomal RNA is filed under the name uncultured bacterium. RNAcentral describes it as "partial 16S ribosomal RNA". It matches the Rfam family "Bacterial small subunit ribosomal RNA", at positions 509 to 809 of the family's 1533-position model. The record is from RNAcentral.